CUCAGAAUGAACGCUGGCGGCGUGCAUAACACAUGCAAGUCGAACGAGAAAUCCCGCCUUCGGGUGGGAGAGUAAAGUGGCGCACGGGUGAGUAACGCGUGGGUAACCUGCCCCUGAAUUCGGGAUAACUCCGCGAAAGCGGUGCUAAUACCGAAUGUCGUCACAGGGACCGUGGUCCCUGGGAUGAAAGGUGACCUCUCCAUGGAAGUUGCCGUUCGGGGAGGGGCUCGCGUACCAUUAGCUUGUUGGUGGGGUAAUGGCCUACCAAUGCUACGAUGGUUAGCUGGUCUGAGAGGAUGAUCAGCCACACUGGCACUGAAACACGGGCCAGACUCCUACGGGAGGCAGCAGUGAGGAAUUUUGCGCAAUGGGGGAAACCCUGACGCAGCAACGCCGCGUGAGUGAAGAAGGCUUUCGGGUCGUAAAGCUCUGUCAAGUGGGAAAAACGUCUUCCCGUUAACAGCGGGAAGGCCUGAUGGUACCACUGGAGGAAGCACCGGCUAACUCCGUGCCAGCAGCCGCGGUAAUACGGAGGGUGCAAGCGUUGUUCGGAAUUACUGGGCGUAAAGAGCGUGUAGGCGGCAAGGUAAGUCAGGCGUGAAAGCCCUGGGCUUAACCCGGGAAGUGCGUUUGAAACUGCCUCGCUCGAGUAUGGGAGAGGAGAGUGGAAUUCCCGGUGUAGAGGUGAAAUUCGUAGAUAUCGGGAGGAACACCCGUGGCGAAGGCGACUCUCUGGACCAAUACUGACGCUGAGACGCGAAAGCGUGGGGAGCAAACAGGAUUAGAUACCCUGGUAGUCCACGCCGUAAACGAUGAGCACUAGGUGUAGCGGGUAUUGACCCCUGCUGUGCCGUAGCUAACGCAUU
Molecule: ribosomal RNA, 866 nt
Filed under: uncultured organism
Description: bacterial SSU rRNA
Rfam family: Bacterial small subunit ribosomal RNA
Source: RNAcentral